CUCGUUUCUUAUUUUUAUCAGCAUUACAGAGGAAUACAUCUGUGGUGAAGGUUUCCACAAAUCUAAUAGCAAUGCUGUUAUUUCUGAUUUUAUAUAGAGAUUUUUAUUUAGGGAUCACAAAUGCUUUACAAAUGUAGCCUUACCUGUCUGCCCAUACUAAUCCCUCCCCACUUUCUUGCUUACAGAUGGAGAAAGGGAAGCAAGGAGGUUAGGCAUGAUUUUAUACAAAUGUCCCUGAUAUUUGGAAAGACUGUCAAGGAGACAGGGUUCUUCUCUGAGCCCUGGCUAGCUAUUCCAGCACCCAUACCAGGCUUUUUCUCAAGGGAGAAAAUGAACUAUCUCACACAGCAUGUUUACAGCCCAAUAUGUAAGGCAAAACGGCAAAACACAGGAAAUGACAAUUUCAUUUGUGUGUGCUGGACAACAGGGAAAGGUGUGAAACUAUUGAACAAGGAGAAUAUGAAAAUGACUCCUGAUUCUUUACUUAGCAUGUGGAAAGAUGGAUAAAGUAUUGUGAAGCAAACCUAAACCCACCCAGGAUGAGUGUGUCAAACUCUGGAAAAAUGGGACAGAGUUCCUACAGCCCUGUGUAUGGGCCCCCAAAGGUAAAGCAUUCAUUUGGUCAUAUCCAGGCCCUACCCCUC
Molecule: long non-coding RNA, 644 nt
Filed under: Equus caballus (horse)
Lineage: Eukaryota; Metazoa; Chordata; Mammalia; Perissodactyla; Equidae
Description: lncRNA (ENSECAG00000041221.2)
Source: RNAcentral